UACGAAGGGUGCAAGCGUUGCUCGGAAUUAUUGGGCGUAAAGGGUAGGUAGGUGGUAAUAAAAGUCUGGGGUGAAAUCCCUGAGCUCAACUCAGGACGUGCCUUGGAAACUUUAUUACUAGAGUGCUGGAGAGGUCCGCAGAAUUCCCGGUGUAGCGGUGAAAUGCGUAGAGAUCGGGAGGAAUACCAGAGGCGAAGGCGGCGGACUGGACAGUCACUGACACUCAACUACGAAAGCGUGGGUAGCAAACAGG
This 253-nucleotide ribosomal RNA is filed under the name uncultured bacterium. RNAcentral's name for it is "partial 16S ribosomal RNA". It matches the Rfam family "Bacterial small subunit ribosomal RNA", at positions 524 to 776 of the family's 1533-position model. The record is from RNAcentral.